RNAcentral lists this ribosomal RNA (254 nucleotides) under uncultured bacterium. RNAcentral describes it as "partial 16S ribosomal RNA". It matches the Rfam family "Bacterial small subunit ribosomal RNA", at positions 524 to 776 of the family's 1533-position model. The record is from RNAcentral.
UACGUAGGGUGCGAGCGUUGUCCGGAAUUAUUGGGCGUAAAGAGCUCGUAGGCGGUCUGUCGCGUCGAUCGUGAAAACUUGGGGCUUAACCCUGAGCUUGCGGUCGAUACGGGCAUGACUGGAGUUCGGCAGGGGAGACUGGAAUUCCUGGUGUAGCGGUGAAAUGCGCAGAUAUCGGGAGGAAUACCGAUGGCGAAGGCAGGUCUCUGGGCUGACACUGACGCUCAUGCACGAAAGCGUGGGGAGCAAACAGG